Molecule: long non-coding RNA, 266 nt
Filed under: Manihot esculenta (cassava)
Lineage: Eukaryota; Viridiplantae; Streptophyta; Magnoliopsida; Malpighiales; Euphorbiaceae
Description: long non-coding RNA (MESC_LNC009494)
Source: RNAcentral
UGAUGGUGUGGUUGACUGUUUGAUAAGGGAUAUCGCCAGUGGAUAGAUUGGUGAUCCGGCGAUUACAGGCGUAAGGAGAACACACUUGAUUGUACCUAAUAACAGUAAUUUUAUGUCGAGACUCAUCUUUUUCAGAAGAAAGCGAAUCUUGAUGAUAAACCAGAUCUUCCCUUUCUCGGGUGGGACUGUAUUUCUCAUUUAUCAUAUCUUUGCCACGUGACUCUGUCUUAUUGUACCAGCUUAUGGCUUACUUUAUGCGAUCGUUA